Molecule: long non-coding RNA, 675 nt
Filed under: Marmota monax (woodchuck)
Lineage: Eukaryota; Metazoa; Chordata; Mammalia; Rodentia; Sciuridae
Source: RNAcentral
AGAUGGCGCUGGUAUCUGGAGCUGAGGCUUCUUGGCGACCUUUACUCCAGCGAGGUUAGGUACAUAGCUUCGUUUCUGAAGGGCGAUUGAGGAUUAGGAUCAGAUUCCUCAGCGUCGUGGGGGCAAAUAUCAGUGUCCUCCAGCCGCCUAGACGACCACUCGAGAAGAGAUAGUCCACGCUUUACGAGAACAGUGAACAUCGCAGAGAUCCUGCCCCGAUCUCGGGGUAACCGAGUUGCGAGUAGAGAAGGAGAACCGGAGGUUUUUCGACCGGGUUCCUGCAUACGUGAAGUGGGAAUGAUAAUGGUAUCUGGCGCUAUAUCUGUCAAAGGAAAGAAGCAGAAGGGGUUUAUUUGAGGCACUACAACGUGGUAGGUUCACCCUCAGCCUUUGGUCUUGUUUAAUCACUCAACAAUUUUGUAAAGGUCUUGUCACCCCAUACUUUACAGAUAGAAAAGCGCCCAGUAUAUUGUUAUUCAGGGCCGUGAGAUCGAAGCCAGUGCCUGGUAUUUUUGAAGAUUCUAGCAAAUUUUGUGGUUGUCCUCCCUCUAAAUUUUGCCCUUAUGGUAAUAUAGGAUGCGGUAGAAAUGCUUAAGUCAAAAGGAGUUUUUAUUAUGGAUUCUGCUAUUUCCAUUCCUUCUCAAAAAAUAGAGUUGCGGCUGAGCAAGCAGCUGA